GUGCUUGCUUCAGCAGCACAUAUACUAAAAUUAAAAUGAUACAGAGAAGAUUAGCAUGGCCCCUGAACAAGGAUGACACUCAAAUUUGUGAAGCAUUCUGUAUAUUU
Lynx canadensis (Canada lynx) is the source of this 107-nucleotide small nuclear RNA. The record is from Ensembl. NCBI's taxonomy places the organism in Eukaryota, Metazoa, Chordata, Mammalia, Carnivora, Felidae.